Cygnus olor (mute swan) is the source of this 1679-nucleotide long non-coding RNA. RefSeq lists it as uncharacterized. The transcript has 4 exons. NCBI's taxonomy places the organism in Eukaryota, Metazoa, Chordata, Aves, Anseriformes, Anatidae. The record is from RefSeq and is a predicted model, not a curated record.
AGGGGGGCUCUGCUAGAGCUUGUCCUUGCUCAGUAUGGAGGGACUGUGUCUGUGGCACCUAGGUCUGCGCUGCAGCUGCUGAGUGAAUUGCUGGUGGCUGUGUGCACAGAUCCAGAAUCAAACAGCUGGGGCUCUCAGCCCCGAGGAGCAUCGUCAGGCAAGAUCAAGAGAAGUUGCUUGCACCCAGCUCUGAAGCACAGCCAUGCUGAGAGGUGUGCGUGGUUCCUUGCAGUGUGUGGAGGCCAGGGCUGUGCUGGGGCCAUCCCGUGGAGCUUCAGGGCACAGUGCAAGAACUGCAGGACCUGAUCGUCCCAUGUGGAGAACAAUGAGGUUGAGGAGGACUUUCUUGUAACAGCAAGCACAUAAUGAACAUCAGUGCUGAAGCCUCAACAAGUCCUGCAAACAUGGGAGAGAAUAGUGUCAAAACUACUGAGCACCUGGAGACCUCCUGGCAUCCUCCCUCCUGCCUCUGGAACCCUUUCCUCAGAGAGCCACCAGCAGCCUCUCUCAGGAUGAGGACAGUGCGUGAGCUGGACCCCUGCUCUGAUCCGGUACAGCUAUCCAUCGGCCAUUUUGCAUUGUUAUGUAUUUGAGAGGGAAAGAAAGCGGCCAAAUGGAUUCAAAACAAGUGCUGGUGAAUGUGAAUCUACCCUAUGGUCUCCCACUAGCCUGCCCUGCAAUCUUAUAGAAAAUGAACCAAAGAUCCCACUUAAAGGCAAGGUGUGAAGGAGAUAGACAAAAAUGAGAUCUGGCUGUCUGGCCCGGAGCAGUGGUAUAUUCUGAUGUGACCUGGUGCGGGCGGGCGACUGCCCAGCGGCAGCUACUGUGUGACCGAGGCCGAGCGUUGCCUUUCCUCUGCCAGGACGUGAGGAGCCCACCCCAUGGUGGUGUGCGGUCCGUGGCUUGUACCCACAGCAGGACCGUGGCUGCUCCAUGCAACCCCACACGCCUCUGCCCUCCUGUGCAGCCCAGCCCCAAGCACCUGUGGUACCCACGGGGUCCCCGCACAGAGGGAGAGGUAGCCCCGCGAGCCUGUCCCAUGCACGUCUGCUGAGUCAAACCCCACCGUCUCCCACGUGCAAGGGUGAGUUUUCUUCCCAAAUCCACAGGGCACUUUAUGGUUACCUUGCACACAAACCCCACUAAAUAAAUAGAUGUUUAUGCCCCCUGUAUUAAAGUGAUUAGGUCCUUUUUUUUUGACAGUGUUGAGUCAAUAUAACCUGAGUAAUUGCAUGAGUAACUCAUGUUUCCCCUAAAGGGAAACUGUUCUCGUGUAAAUAUAUUUAUUAAUAAUUAAAGUGUUUUUGAGUUCUUAUGCACACAGCCCCUCUCCCCCACAGAGAUAUCUGAAAAGCUGUUGUCUUUAAACCUGCACAGGAGUCACACAGGAAGGGAUUUUGGCAGGGGGGUGAAUGCCUAUUGCAGGAGGCAUGUGGUUUAAUUUUGACCUUUCCUUUUUUCUUCCUGAACAAAAAAAUAAUGGUGAGAUCUGUGUAUGAGAGAUUUAAAAACCUCUACUACUCCAUUAGGAGCAUUACCCUGAAAUACUCACUAGAGCUUCUAACAGCCCAGAUAAUAGGGGUGGGAAAUCAUUUCUGGAAAAUAUUCCCCUCAAAGCAUCUUACCAGAGGAUUGUUUCCUAACAACAACAAUAAAAUCUUUGUCAAACAAUCCUUCAA